UGCAGCUGUUCCUGCACACAGAUGUUCACACGUCUCUCAGGCUGAAUACGAAACACUCUGCAGCUGAAACUGUUGUUUUAUGAUCAAAGUGCAGGUGGACACACAGCUUUAAGUUCAGCUUUCAACAACUUUAUGUGAAUUAACGGUUUUAGACCACAGACAUGUAGACUCAAACUCAGAAUGCUGAAAGCAGAAUCGGGAUUAACAGGUUUGUUUUUCCAGUACAGAGGAUAAAGAUGAGAAGAUGGCAGGAGGAAUACUUGGACUUCUGUUCUCAGUUCCAGAGCUGAUUGAGAACUGGAACAACAUGGACAUCUGUGAGACAGAAGCCAGUAAGAGCCUGAAAGAGAACGCUAAGGCCAUACGGACCGAGUCUGAGAACAUGAAGAAAGGCCUUCAGGAAAUCCUAAAUGUCUUUCGGAGGUUAGCCAAAGUUAAAGACUGCAUAGACAACAGGACGAGGAGCAGCGAUGACAAGAAAGAAUUAAUAGAGUUUGCAGUGGAACAUUGCAAAGAUGAAGAUGCUCUGCAGUGGCUGAGAGAAAACUCAGAGUUUGAAACUUUCUUCAAACUCAUUGAUUUGUUUCGAUUCUUGACAAAAAAAAAGGAAGAAAAGAAGCUCCACUCCAACAACAUUGACAUCACCUUUGUAGCACAUGGAUCGAUCACAGACUCCAUGAUAUCAGCCAACUGUUUGCUGCCUCUGUCCAAAAUCACUGAUGUGGUCCUGUACUCUCCCUGGAACUGUGCCAUCGAUGCUAAAGUAGCCUACGGUGUUGCUACAGGACUCAUAGAGCCUCAGCACAGAGUUUUCAGCUGUGAAACUCCUGAUCAGGAACGUUGUUGCUGCUGUCAUUGUCGCUCCUGUAGAAAUAAAAAAGUCUGUGAAGUUCCUGAUGCAGAUCAUCAACCCACAAAACGUCCAGAUGAGUGGAACUCCAUGAAGAAGGCUGGAGAUCGAAAGAUUCCUAACAUCAUGCUGCGUCCACUACGACAACGCAAGGACGGUGCUUGGAAAAAUUUUGAGAUUCUCAAGGAUAAGUAUUGUGAACCUGAGGGAAACCGCAUCAUUGUCCCAUUUAUCUUCCCAGGGAGGAGAAAAGAAGAAGUCCCAUUCUUUGUUGUCUCCUUGGCUCUGUCUCAGGUGCUCCUGUUCUCCAGGUUUCAAGCCACACUCCAUCUCACUGCCUGUUUGGGAAAAAUAUCCAGAGAAAUAAAAAUUGAUGAAGACACCCUGAAGGAGCAGUAUGCCUGCACCAUCGACAGCACAAGAAUGACAUCUUCACAAGGCAAGCCACGACAAAAGAACAAAAGAUUGUUCAAAGCUUUUAAAGUUCUGUUUGGUUAGACAUCCUGCAUUUCUCAAAGAUGAAAGAAAUUGUAGAGUCAUAAGGUGUUGAAAGUUAUUUUUUGUCACAUACCCACCUUGGUCAGUCAGACCAUCUUUUUUCUUCUCCAUUUCCCCGCACACAAAAACCUUAAGACCAACGGGCAGAACUGCUAAAGUUUGGCUGGAGGGAGCUGUCUCUUAUCUACAGGACUCUUCCAUUCUGUCACUUGAAAACACUGAAUUCAAAAUCUGUCCCCUCAUCUGGAGGAAAACACAUCAUCCGUGCUGUCCUACAUUAACUUCACUGUAGGUGUAUCCAAAUGAGAAACCGUGGAUAAACAGUGAAAUCAAGUGACACCAGGUUUCAAAUGUGCAAACUAUGAAUAGAGGAGGACCUUAGUGCUAAUACCUGUAAUACCUGUACAUCACAGAUGUUUACACAAAUCAACGACUCUGUCAGCAUGGUAGAGGAACUCAACUGCUUUUUUGCACGAUUUCAUAGCUGCAGUCACAACCCAGUCAUAAACCAACAGGUGACAACCCAAGGUCCCCUCCUCUACUCACUCAUCAACUCAUCAGGUACAGCUGCCUCUCUGUACCAUCAACACAAGGAAAGCAGCCGGUCCUGAUGGAGCGCAUGGAUGCUUGCUACAGGCCUGUGCUAACCAAAUAACAGAGGUUUCUUUAUCCAGUUUCAGCCAACAUUGCAAACAAGACUUGCAGCUAAUAGUGGUGGAAGGGGACAAGCUAAAGAAGGUGAACAAAAAUCGUUGGUAAAAACAGACAAAACUGAGAAAACAACAGUGGACGGGAUGGUGGCUGAGGAGCACACUGUCUGUAAUGAUGCCCAUGACCUAAACUUGGCAGUGGACGUGGAAGAUAGAAUUGUCGCCAUCUGCACAGACAUUAGGUUGAUGGCUGCAGAGGUGAUGUCUGAAGCUAGGCAACAUAAUAACCAAUCUGAAGACAACAGCUGACAGCGUGGGGGAAACUUUGUAUACUUUCACAUGAAUACCCUGCAGAAAUGUUGGGAAAGAGUCGCAUCAGAUGGAGAACUGCAUAACAUUUUACAUUUUAUUAGCCCUAAAUUAAAGUAUGUCCAGAUGGGUGAAAGUUACCUUCUACUGAGAGAAGGUAACAACGCUAACACAGACUGUACUUGGAAGUGAGAUUGACUUUUCUUUUGUAUGAAAUAUUCUGAGCAGCUUACCUGUCAAAGAUAAAUACCUUAAGGAUUUUGGUUCAGCCAGUAACAAAAGAACAGUUUUGACCACGAAUGGUUGAAAUGUGACCCAACUAAGAAUGACUAGACUGCCAUGUUGAGUAAUAUUGAGACAAAUACUUUUUUUUUUCCAAUUUACAGGCGGAUCCAUUCCCUAAAAAAAAUCAUUGAAAUGGAUGCAUUAUACA
Molecule: long non-coding RNA, 2740 nt
Organism: Oreochromis aureus
Lineage: Eukaryota; Metazoa; Chordata; Actinopteri; Cichliformes; Cichlidae
Source: Ensembl